Molecule: long non-coding RNA, 3263 nt
Organism: Eriocheir sinensis (Chinese mitten crab)
Lineage: Eukaryota; Metazoa; Arthropoda; Malacostraca; Decapoda; Varunidae
Exons: 3
Source: RefSeq, a predicted model, not a curated record
AGUAUUGUUCUAGUUUUUAUUUUGUAACAAGCUCACUAGUUGUGAGGACGUAUUAAUUGUUCAUUGUGGUGUGAAUUUAUUUGAGAAGUGAGUUAUGGCUCGAGAGCUGGAAGUCAGAUAGCCGGUGUGUGGUGCUGUACCCUUAUGUUUCCACUUUUUUUAUAGUUUUAUUCUGUGUUUUAAGUGCUUGGUCUCGGUAAAUGCAAGUGUACAUUAAGGAAGGAUGAGUGGAUUGCUUUGGCAGAGCAUUACGAAAUUACUGUUAGGAAAAGUUGGAGGAAGAUUCGGAUUAAGAACGCUGUGAUUAAAAUGCUGGUAAAUACUAGUGUUAUUAAGGAGGAGGCCUUACAUUUGUGUGAGGAGGAGGGGGCUACCUGUCUCAGUGAAAAUGCAAUGAGAGCUUUGGAGUUAGAGGUUGAGCAGCGGAAGCUGGAAGACAGAAGGAGAGAAGAUUUCAGUUGACCAUGCUUGAAAAGAAGUCUGAAAUGGGCCUUAUUGGAGAGCAGGCAUUUGAUGUGACAAAGUGCUGUAAGUUUGUGCCUGUAUUUGAUUAACUUGAUGCUGAGGAAUACUUCCUUCAGUUUGAGAAUGUUGCCACAAGUUUGUCAUGGCCAAAAGGGUAUUGGCCCAUAAUUGCUCAGACUUCCUUUAAAGGAAAAGGGCUCUCAACCUACCUCUCCUUGAUGACUGACCAGCAGAAAGAUUACAGUAUAGUCAAGGAAUCUAUCCUCCAAGCCUACCAGUUAACUCCAGAAUUUUAUCAGUCUUAAUUUCGUAACUCUGCCAGGACUCCCAAUCAGACUUUCAUUGAGUAUGCACAUUUGCUGAGGAAAUUGCAUAAUAGGUGGAUUGCAUCUCUUGGAGUAACCACAUUUGAUCAGUUACGUGAGCUUAUGGUACUAGAACAGUACUUGAACACCUUGCCAUAUGAUAUGAGUAUAUUUAUAUGAAAAAGAGGUCGAUUCACUUGAUAGAGCAGCUUUCUUAGCUGAAAACUAUUAUCUAAUUCAUAAGGCUAACAAAAAGUUAUCCUGACCAGAACACAACUCAGACAUGUUGGUAAACCUUUGAGUACUGAUUAUGUUGGGGAAAGUGUGAACAGUGCAAGUUUUGACACUAAAAUUUGCAAUUACUGCAAGAAGCCAGGUCAUUUUGUGGGAAGUUGUCCUAAGUUGGAGAAGAAAGAUCAGAGUAGGUCCGAUAUAAAACCUGUUAUUAAUUAUGUCUUUAAACCAGCAGAUGUGAGUGAUCCUGUUUUAACCACGUCUAAGAUCCUGUUUUAACCACGUCUAAUAAGUGUCAACAGCUGUUCCAACCAUUCCGAUUUGAGGGUAGUGUGUCAGCCUCUGAGGCCGGUCCGUCCAUCCUUCUCAGUAUCCUGCGUAUACAGGUGCCUCGCACAGUAUUGUGGUAAAGAGUAUUGUUCCUUUUGUUGAGUAUUAUUUUGUACACUGGGGAGUUUGUUGUGCUGAAAGGUAUUAAUGAAUGUACCACACUACCAUUAUGUGGACUCUACCUAAGGGCUGGCAUAAUUUCUCUGGUUGUAACUGUUGCAGUGCAAGAUUCUUUGCCUGUUGAGGGAGUUACCUUUCUGCUAGGCAACGAUAUUGCUGGUUGUCGUAUAAUUCCGGAUCCUGUAGUCUUUUCUAAUCCUUUAACUUUUGACCCUGCAGUAAAGUUGACAGAACAGAAUCCUGGAUUGUUCCCUUCUUGUAUUGUCACUAGGAGCCAAUCAGUGAACGCUGUCAAGGAUACUGAUGUUGACCUUGAUUUGGAUAAGGUAUUCCCUAAUGAAGCUAUUCAUGAUGAGAUGGUUGAGGAGCCUGUUAGUACUUCCAGUAGUGAGAUAAAGUCUUCGGUAGAGACGGGUGAUGUUCCUGUGACUCGUGAGAUGUUGGUGGAGGCUCAGAGUGCAGAUCCCUCUUUAGGCAAACUGUUGGAUAGGGCAGUCUCGGAGGCUGAGAGUGAAGAUGAGUCGGUCUGUUAUUUUCUUAAAUCAAGUAUUCUUAUGAGAAAAUUUCAUCCUCCAGAAGUCUCCAAAAGUGAGAAUUUGUCAGUUGCGCAGAGAAAAAUGAAGGUUCACCAUGAUGUUUCUGCUGUUGAAAGAGAAUUUAAUGUGGGAGAUAAGGUUUUGUUGUUUUUGCCCAUUAGAAAAUUCCCACUACAGGCAAGAUACCAGGGCCCAUAUGAAGUGAUUGGAAAAGAGGGUAACCUUAAUUGCGUAAUAUCUACUCCAGGGCGUCGUAAAACUAAGUUGUACAUGUGAAGUUGUUAAGAGUUGUACAUGUGAAUUUGUUAAAAAUAUUGUUCAAGAGAUGAUGGCCAGGAAGAGGGUCAUAGUGAAGGUCAAGGACAGGCAUUGUCAGGAUGUUGCGUAUGAUGAACCUAUUAAUUGUGACUUUGAUGUAAAAUGUAAUGUGAAGCUUAAUAAUUCUAAUGUUCUGUCGAAUUUAGAAAGUAAACUGGUCCAUUUGAGUGCAGAACAGAAAUAUGAUAUUAAGGAACUUUUGUGUGAGUUUUGAGAUUUAUGUUCUGAUCCAAGUCAAAGUACUGUUAUGGAGCAUGACAUUGUGUUGAUUGAAAACACAGCCCCAGUUAAACAAGCACCAUACAGGAUGUCACCCCCCCAAAAAAGAUAUACUGAGAAAAGUUCAAUUUCUGUUGAAGCAUGAUUUGGUUGAGAAGAGUAAGUGAGUGGGCUUCUUGCAUAUUGGUUCCUAAAGCAGAUGGGUCCAUGCGAAUGUGUACGGACUAUCGCCAAGUUAAUGCCCGUGGUUUUAUCUUUAGGAGGGAGGUGUGAGGCAAAUAACCAUAAUUAUCUAAUUAGUUUUCACCUGUAUCAGGCUCAUGAUUUGCAGGCCUUUGUACGUGGGCAGUAACCGUAAGACCCUAGGUUGGGAAUGGUUGUUUAUAUUAUAUUAAAUAGUUAAGCAUUCAACCGGUGGUUGACUGCUGCCACGUCAGCCUACGGCUUUCAUCGGUAGUUGGGGUACCGGAGUUAGUUGUUUUGGAAGCGGAGGUGGCAAGGUGUUGGUCUUUCGUGGGUAGCGGCCAUACAUAAGUAUUGUUCUAGCUUUUAUUUUGUAACAUAAGCUCACUAGUUGUGAGGACGUAUUAAUUGUUCAUUGUGGUGUGAAUUUAUUUGAGAAGUGAGUUAUGGCUCGAAAGCUGGAAAUCAGAUAGCCGGUGUGUGGUGCUGUACCCAUGUUUCCACUUUUGUUUUAUAGUUUUAUUCUGUGUUUUAAGUGCUUGGUCUCAAUAAA